This 804-nucleotide ribosomal RNA is filed under the name Triticum aestivum (bread wheat). RNAcentral describes it as "partial small subunit ribosomal RNA". Lineage: Eukaryota; Viridiplantae; Streptophyta; Magnoliopsida; Poales; Poaceae. The record is from RNAcentral.
AUGAAAUAUGUCUUUAAGUAUGUCACCAAAGGUGCUAACUACUCUAAGGUCAUGUUGGAAAGGCUAAAAAAUUUGACUAAAUCUGGUUGUCGUACAGGAGAUGAGGUUCAGGAGUAUCUGAUAUGUCAGUAUAUAUGUGAGAACGAUGCAUUGUGGCGCAUAUUUGGGUUUGAAAUACACUUUAAAAUGCCAUCAGUUCAAAGGCUGACCGUUCAUUUGUCUGGCAUCAAUACUGUCUACUAUCAUGUUGGUGCUGACCUCACGAAAAUUGUUGAUUCCGACUUCUUGCGAAAGACUAUGCUUACCAAAUGGUUUGUUGCAAAUGAGAUGUUCGAAGAUGCCCAUUCAUUAACUUAUUGUGAUUUUCCAACUACUUGGACUUGGGACGCUAAAAGUAGGUCAUGGCAUCCAAGAGGUGGGGGUGAAAAGAUUGGCCGCGUGUAUUAUGUACGUCCUUUGAGUGGUGAGUUGUAUUACUCGCGCAUGCUUUUGAUGAUUGUUAAGGGGGCUAGGUCUUUUGAGGAUCUCCGAACAUAUGCUGGUCAUCUUUAUCACACCUUUAAAGAGGCUUGUGCCGCACGUGGUUUGUUAGGAGACGAUAACGAGUGGUACAUAGCAUUUGAUGAAGCGGUUGUCUGGGGGUAUGGGCAUCGACUUAGAUGGCUAUUUGUGACUAUGCUCAUGCAUUGUUCUAUCAAGGAUGAGAUGGGUUUCUUUGAACGUUACUGUGCUAGCAUGUACGAUGAUAUCCAGCAUGGGUUGUGUCGUGCCCUGGGUAAUCCAAACUAUGUUGUUCCUCCUUAA